AUGUAAACGGUCAUUUGUCAGCCCGUAGAAUAUACGAUGUGAACUCUGGUCAGCCCUCGGAAACGUCGGUCGGCCCGGUUUCGGGCUCACCAACGUUUCCCACUGUAUAUAGAGGUUGUUGGACAUGUUAUCAUGUGAAAUGACGUUUAGCAAAUUUUCGGUUGGGCCGACCAUUACACCAUAUACACAUAGCUGAUACACCACCUACUUUCACAAAACUUCGCCAGGAGGCGUGGCUGUGUAAUUGUAUACACCUGAUGUGAAUAGUGUCUUUGUGAGCCCAGGUUUAUACGAAUAUUUUUAUUGGCUAGCAUGUUGGUCAGCCCACAAUCGGGCAACGCUGCACUUGCAUUUCAUGAUUCUAACUAGAUUGUCGUGGUGCAGAAUUUCGAUAAUAGAGAUGGAAAAUUUUUUGAGAGAUGUAGAAUUUUAUGAAAAAGUUCCUGUUUUGUAUGUUUUUUGUACAAGCGUUCGUGUGCGUGCAUCACCCUAUAUCUAUACAAGCAAUUUAGAUCAGGAAUUGUUUCGCAUAUAAAAGUUUUAUCAGAGCUUCGUAACAUAUUCACUUGUAGAAAAAUGCUUGAUCUGAACUCAUACUUUCCCACAUUCGACUACUUACCCGAAAUCAGCUUUUUCGGAUAACGGUGUCGAGUACGGAUGUGUACUGUUUCCGUUCUAGUUAGGAUAAUAAUAAUAUAAUUACUAACAGUGCGUUAUUCCAUUUAGCUUGUCGAAGCAAUUUUAACCUCUGCACUAUCUUAGAUACAAAAAUUUGAAUAUGUUAUAAGUUGAAAAUAUCAAUAUAGUGUUCGGAAUCACACGUUAAAAUGUAAGACCUCGUUAAUCUAUAGCUAGUACAAGUUUAUACUUCUGAGGGUUGUCGUUCGUAGGGGUGCGACAGACAUAUUUUAAACCGUUUCCUGUUUGUAUUUUCAAAUGUAGAUUUUCAAAUUCUAAUUAUUUGGCAUGGACGCCUCAACAGAAAUCGCGUUGUGUAAAUCAAUUUUAGACAUUAAGCAGGAAACUUCGGAUUUGACUUUGAAAUUGUAGAUUUGAAAACCUGACUGCACAAAAAUAAUCGAAGUGUGACUGAGUAGAAAUGAGUAGAUGAAAAAUGACAUUUUUUUCACAAACGAAAAAUCUAAAAUGUGAUGAAUGAUCUGGUAAUGAAUUUAUUGAGAAAUGAAUAGUGAAUAUCCAGAAUGUCUACAGUUUCAAUAAAUUCUAUAUAAAAAUCCGCAGCAGCACUACGGAUUUCCGAUAUAUAAUUUAGUUCAAAAAUUAGGUAAAAAUCGCACUAAGUAUGUUUUCUAUGACGAAACGAAAUUCUGAGUGACUAGCAUAAGCAAUAGUUUUUUCGAAAACUCCCUUUCAGUUUUUGGAGGUAUGAUGUUGUUCAGGUUGAACAUAAUGAAGUGGAGAUUAAACCAAUGUUUUUUUAUUAUGUUGACUGUUCAUGACGAUGAAUACGUCAUAUCAUCAUCGAUUAUAACCUGCAGCAGACAUUUCAAUCAAAAUAAAAAAGACUUGGAAUAUUUCAGCACAGAAAAAAUUUGAUCAGGUUGAAUAAACAUUUAUUUGAAUGGAGUAUUAUUCUUCAAUUUGAGAACUGCUGACAAAAAUUGUUCGGUAAACUAAUAAACACGUAGUAUGAAAAAAUAACAUAAUUUCUAAUGAAAUGAAACUACAACAUGGGUAAAAAAAUAUCAAAUGAAAAUUAUUAAUAUUAUUUCUUCUUUCUAUAACAACAGUAAACGUAUUCUUUGAUUGCAGCCCAGUUUCUAUUUUUUAAUAAUGAUGAAUAUUUCUUUUCCUUAUAUUUUAGAUACAAACAAGAACUAAUUCAAUUCUAGCACUUCUUUUUUUUUCGGAGCGAAAAACUUUUUGACUAUAUUUCGUUUUGCUCCUUAGACCAAGUUUGUUUUUGAGAAGGUUUUAUUGUUUUCAAAACUGUGCGUGUCUGAUGAUCUGAAAUGAGAUCAGUGUGUUGAAAAACUCUAUCAAGAUAUCAAACGGGUUGAAAAUGGAUCCAAAAAUGAAUGAUAAAAAUAAAAAAUGGAAGGACGAUACUGAAAAGUGAUUUGACUCAUUUCCAACCUAUACUCAGAGAUACGGAUGAUUCCAAAACAGCUCAAAAUAUAAAUAAUUGAUUGCAUAUAGGGAAUUUUUUUCAAAAGGAGCCACGUUCAAUAUCUCCAUAAAUAA
Leptinotarsa decemlineata (Colorado potato beetle) is the source of this 2205-nucleotide long non-coding RNA. NCBI's taxonomy places the organism in Eukaryota, Metazoa, Arthropoda, Insecta, Coleoptera, Chrysomelidae. The record is from RefSeq and is a predicted model, not a curated record.